Molecule: ribosomal RNA, 587 nt
Filed under: uncultured bacterium
Lineage: Bacteria
Description: bacterial SSU rRNA
Rfam family: Bacterial small subunit ribosomal RNA
Source: RNAcentral
GAUGAGUCCGCGGCCCAUCAGCUAGUUGGCGGGGUAAUGGCCCACCAAGGCGAAGACGGGUAGCUGGUCUGAGAGGAUGACCAGCCACACUGGAACUGAGACACGGUCCAGACUCCUACGGGAGGCAGCAGUGGGGAAUAUUGCGCAAUGGAGGAAACUCUGACGCAGCAACGCCGCGUGAGUGAUGAAGGUCUUCGGAUCGUAAAGCUCUGUCGGCAGGAAAGAUGGCCCAAGGUUCUAACAGGCCCUUGGGUUGACGGUACCUGCAAAGGAAGCACCGGCUAACUCUGUGCCAGCAGCCGCGGUAAUACAGAGGGUGCAAGCGUUGUUCGGAAUUAUUGGGCGUAAAGGGCGCGUAGGCGGUCUUUCAAGUCGGAUGUGAAAGCCCAGGGCUCAACCUUGGAAGUGCAUUCGAAACUGAAAGACUAGAGUUCACGGAGAGGGUGGUGGAAUUCCCAGUGUAGAGGUGAAAUUCGUAGAUAUUGGGAGGAACACCAGUGGCGAAGGCGACCACCUGGACGGAAACUGACGCUGAGGCGCGAGAGCGUGGGUAGCAAACAGGAUUAGAUACCCUGGUAGUCCACGCC